CCUACGGGUGGCAGCAGUGAGGAAUCUUGGUCAAUGGACGCGAGCCUGAACCAGCCAAGUCGCGUGAAGGAUGACUGCCCUCCGGUUUGUAAACUUCUUUUAUAGAGGAAUAAAGUUACGCGCGUGUGCCUUUUUGUAUGUACUUUAUGAAUACGGAUCGGCUAACUCCGUUCCAGCAGCCGCGGUAAUACGGAGGAUCCGAGCGUUAUCCGGAUUUAUUGGGUUUAAAGGGAGCGUAGACGGGUUGUUAAGUCAGUUGUGAAAGUUGGCGGCUCAACCGGAAAAGUGCAAUGGAUACUGGCAGUCUUGAGUACAGAGGAGGUAGGUGGAAUUCGGGGGGUAGCGGUGAAAUGCUUAGAUAUAACGAAGAACUCCGAUUGCGAAGGCAGCUUACUAAUCUGCCACUGACAUUGAUGCUCGAAAGUGUGGGUAUCAAACAGGAUUAGAUACCCUUGUAGUC
RNAcentral lists this ribosomal RNA (460 nucleotides) under uncultured bacterium. RNAcentral's name for it is "partial 16S ribosomal RNA". It matches the Rfam family "Bacterial small subunit ribosomal RNA", at positions 338 to 795 of the family's 1533-position model. The record is from RNAcentral.